CUGGGUCAUAAAACUGAAAAAAAAAAGAAAGAAAGAAAGAAAGAAAAAAGACCGCUGACAAAAGGCCUCUCUAGUCUUCAAAGGGAUACAUUUGAAAGAGGGCAGGAAGCACUUAGAAGUUUUCUACAGUCACUUCGCUGGUAGGAGCAAUGUACCUGUGAACGUGACAGGGCUGGAUAUUUCUAGCUGUCAGGAAUUUGUUCCUUGAGAAGAAUGUGGCUGAUGGUGGAUUAAUAUAGGGGACUCCCUGAGGACCAUGGUUUAGCUGCUGCUGGACCCUCCUAGCUGUUGCAUGUUUUGGGAAAUCAAGAAUGCAAUUGGGAUCUCAGUGUCAUCUCAACGAGGAAGGUGUGCGUGGAAGUAGCUCGUGCUGUGGACCAGGUGUUCCUUCUCUUAAAAUGUGCCCAACCCAGCCCUCGUAUCAAAAGUCCUCAUAAUUUGCCGGAGGACAGAAAAUGUACUCACAUAAACUACGAAACUGCACAGAAAAAUUUUACUUUUCUAAUGCAUGGAAUCUCCAUUCCUCACGAUGGACGCGUUUUGUUAAAGAGACCAGUGGAAGCCAAGAGUCUGAAGCCAAAGUGCAAAUCAGUAACAGCUAUUCCUGGUGGAGGACAGGAUGUGCGUACCACCUAGCACGUUGUAUAUUCACAGACAUAAAGGAUGCACAAAACAUGCCACGCACUGCAUUUCUGCGCUAAUGCAUAGGAGGCUAAUGAUAAACUCUUCGCUCACUCAAUGAUUUGGUAUUCAUGUUUUGACUCAAAAUUUAAUGCCUUUCCUGAAG
Long non-coding RNA from Equus asinus (donkey), 787 nucleotides. Lineage: Eukaryota; Metazoa; Chordata; Mammalia; Perissodactyla; Equidae. The record is from Ensembl.